UGCUUAAAAUAUGGACUAACUUCAUGCACUGUGUGCAGACAUAUGAAAAGCAACCGGUGACGACAUAACAAACUAUAUGCAGUAUAGUUCGCUAACUAAGACCAUUGUAUGUUUUUAACUUACACGCAAUAUAGAAAACCACAUUCCAUAGGCUCCAAGUCCCAUUUCGAACAAAGAACCCAGCAAAUACUUUACUUCUUGACUAAAAAUCGUAUCAUGAUUCCGACUUUGAUCUCAUGUUUCUUCUUAUCUCAGCAAACAAACACUUCCUUUCCAUGUUUCUGCACGAAAACAAGCACGCACAAAAGCUAGAUAAUACUACAUUGUCUCAAUCGCCAAAUUAGCUACUAUAGGAUCUUUAAGGACUAAAGGCUUACAACUUUAUACUUGAAUUUGUCGCGUAUGUCUUCAACUGCUAUUACAACAGAUGAAAAACCAAGAAUCACCGCAUGAAUUAACUGUCUACUAAGUUUAACUACCUCUCCUUCUGUGAAUAAAGACGAGUGAAAAAGAAGGAAGUAUCAGUGAACUCCUUCAAUUUACAUUGUUCUUAUUCCAUGGAACAUCUUUCCACCUUUCAUAAAC
RNAcentral lists this long non-coding RNA (585 nucleotides) under Olea europaea (common olive). RNAcentral's name for it is "long non-coding RNA (OEUR_LNC013926)". Lineage: Eukaryota; Viridiplantae; Streptophyta; Magnoliopsida; Lamiales; Oleaceae. The record is from RNAcentral.